UUUACUUCUCAUCUUAUUCACUUUGGCCUCAUCAACUACUAUAACAUCUUCAUCCAAAGAAGAAAUAAAAUGCGAUACUUGCACGCCUGUUCCCUCUCCACCGCCACCACCCCCCGUGGUAACUGAGUGCCCACCACCUCCUUCUCCGCCUUCUCCUCCUCCGCCAUCACCUCCACCACCACCAAAUCCGUCGCCGCCACCACCAGCAUGCCCUUCAUGUGCUUCACCUUGCUCCAGCUGCCGUCCACCACCGUGCUCUGGAUGCCCUUCGCCACCCAAACAAGUGGUUCCUUACUUCAUAUAUAGCUACAAGAACCCUC
Molecule: long non-coding RNA, 320 nt
Filed under: Gossypium barbadense (sea-island cotton)
Lineage: Eukaryota; Viridiplantae; Streptophyta; Magnoliopsida; Malvales; Malvaceae
Description: long non-coding RNA (GBAR_LNC020608)
Source: RNAcentral